AUCAAAGGUCAACGUGCGCCAGGUGAGGUUAGCAUCAUUUGAUUACUAGCAAAGCAUCAUGAAAGACAAACAGCGCUUUCACGGCCAUGCUACUGCGAAACCGAGAUUCUGGAAAAGAAACUUCGAAGCAGUUCUGGCCUCCGAACAAACUAAAUAUCUCAGCGUACGGUGGAGGUGUCAGCAACCACACGAAAAAAAAUACCGGCCUGAUAGAAGUGCAUUGGGACGUUACAUGACAUGAAUGUGGACCAUUUCGCCUAAGGAGAGAAGACCUCUGCGUCAAAUAAUACCCUGAUAGUCCCCACCUGAAAGCAGUGCCUCAUGCUGUCUGCCUUUACUUACUUGCUGUUUUUGGGAUGAUAGCCGCAGAAGGAGACGUUCUUCAACUGGAAGAAAUGACUGCACUCAUUACUCUGAAAAGGACACAGAAAAAGGUACCAGAUUGCUGAGGGGGGCUGUGGUAGAAAGCCUUAAGUGGAAACAAGUGGCAAGCAUCAGCUGCUCACACACUGGCAGAGAGGAGUUUCACCAGCAGAACAUAACUCUCCCUGGGGUUACCUCCAUCUGGGUUUCUCAUCAGGAUAUGUUACACUCUCUGUGUCCUUUGUCACUUCUAUGGCGUAGUAAGCGGGGAAGAUCCCACGGGCACCAGUUCGCAUGUUGUAGCCCUCAUACCAGUA
Molecule: long non-coding RNA, 680 nt
Organism: Lates calcarifer (barramundi perch)
Lineage: Eukaryota; Metazoa; Chordata; Actinopteri; Centropomidae
Exons: 6
Source: RefSeq, a predicted model, not a curated record